Molecule: ribosomal RNA, 253 nt
Filed under: uncultured bacterium
Lineage: Bacteria
Description: partial 16S ribosomal RNA
Rfam family: Bacterial small subunit ribosomal RNA
Source: RNAcentral
UACGGGGGGGGCAAGCGUUGUUCGGAAUUACUGGGCGUAAAGGGCUCGUAGGUGGCCAACUAAGUCAGACGUGAAAUCCCUCGGCUUAACCGGGGAACUGCGUCUGAUACUGGAUGGCUAGAGUUUGGGAGAGGGAUGCGGAAUUCCAGGUGUAGCGGUGAAAUGCGUAGAUAUCUGGAGGAACACCGGUGGCGAAGGCGGCAUCCUGGACCGGCAUUGACGCUGAGGCGCGAAAGCCAGGGGAGCAAACGGG